UCAACGGCAACGCCGACGUGCCGAUACACGAUGUUUUUUGGAGUGGCGAUAACAAAAUAUGUGGCGGCUACUAUGAGGCGGCAGUUAUAUAUAUUGCAGAUACAGAACGUGAAGCCAGAAAGGGCGGAGAGAAAAAGCGUGUGGGGAAAACUUACCGGCCACCUUCUGCUGAUCAUGAUCAAGAAACAAAGAAACAAAAGACUCAAAAGAUGAAAAAGGGAAAUAAAG
This is a long non-coding RNA of Ornithodoros turicata, 228 nucleotides long. RefSeq lists it as uncharacterized. Lineage: Eukaryota; Metazoa; Arthropoda; Arachnida; Ixodida; Argasidae. The record is from RefSeq and is a predicted model, not a curated record. The transcript is spliced from 3 exons.